Molecule: ribosomal RNA, 489 nt
Filed under: uncultured bacterium
Lineage: Bacteria
Description: partial 16S ribosomal RNA
Rfam family: Bacterial small subunit ribosomal RNA
Source: RNAcentral
AUUGAACGCUGGCGGCAGGCUUAACACAUGCAAGUCGAGCGGUAGCACAGGGGAGCUUGCUCCCUGGGUGACGAGCGGCGGACGGGUGAGUAAUGUCUGGGAAACUGCCUGAUGGAGGGGGAUAACUACUGGAAACGGUAGCUAAUACCGCAUAACGUCGCAAGCCCAAAGAGGGGGACCUUCGGGCCUCUUGCCAUCAGAUGUGCCCAGAUGGGAUUAGCUAGUAGGUGGGGUAAUGGCUCACCUAGGCGACGAUCCCUAGCUGGUCUGAGAGGAUGACCAGCCACACUGGAACUGAGACACGGUCCAGACUCCUACGGGAGGCAGCAGUGGGGAAUAUUGCACAAUGGGCGCAAGCCUGAUGCAGCCAUGCCGCGUGUGUGAAGAAGGCCUUCGGGUUGUAAAGCACUUUCAGCGAGGAGGAAGGUGGUGAACUUAAUACGUUCAUCAAUUGACGUUACUCGCAGAAGAAGCACCGGCUAACUCCGU